UGCAUUCACUAUUGUAAGUCGCUCUGGAUAAGAGUGUCUGCUAAAUGACUCAAA
Non-coding RNA from Salmo salar (Atlantic salmon), 54 nucleotides. NCBI's taxonomy places the organism in Eukaryota, Metazoa, Chordata, Actinopteri, Salmoniformes, Salmonidae. The record is from Rfam.